Molecule: transfer RNA, 74 nt
Filed under: Kamptonema sp. PCC 6506
Lineage: Bacteria; Bacillati; Cyanobacteriota; Cyanophyceae; Oscillatoriales; Microcoleaceae
Description: tRNA-Arg
Source: RNAcentral
UUUCCCUCUGCCAAUGGAGAUGGCGCUGGUGCUACGAACACCGGAUGUGAUAGUUCGAUUCUAUCCAGAGGGGU